This 443-nucleotide ribosomal RNA is filed under the name uncultured bacterium. RNAcentral describes it as "partial 16S ribosomal RNA". It matches the Rfam family "Bacterial small subunit ribosomal RNA", at positions 338 to 795 of the family's 1533-position model. The record is from RNAcentral.
CCUACGGGUGGCAGCAGUGGGGAAUAUUGGGCAAUGGAGGCAACUCUGACCCAGCAAAGCCGCGUGAAUGAUGAAGGUCUUCGGAUUGUAAAGUUCUUUUCUAAGGGAAGAAGAAAGUGACGGUACCUUAGGAAUAAGCCUCGGCUAACUACGUGCCAGCAGCCGCGGUAAUACGUAGGAGGCAAGCGUUAGCCGGAAUGACUGGGCGUAAGGGGUGCGUAGGUGGUUUGACAAGUUAGUAGCGCAACUCCGGGGCUCAACUUCGGAAUUACUACUAAAACUGUUGGAAUUGAGUGCAGGUGGGGCAAUCGGAAUUCCUGGUGUAGCGGUGGAAUGCGUAGAUAUUAGGAAGAACACCAGUGGCGAAGGCAGAUUGCUAGACUGUAACUGACACUGAGGCACGAAAGCGUGGGGAGCAAACAGGAUUAGAUACCCGUGUAGUC